UGCAGUCGAACGAACCUUCGGGUUAGUGGCGGACGGGUGAGUAACACGUGGGCAACCUGCCCUGCAGACUGGGAUAACUUCGGGAAACCGGAGCUAAUACCGGAUAACACCGAAAACCGCAUGGUUUUCGGUUGAAAGGCGGCUUUUAGCUGUCACUGCAGGAUGGGCCCGCGGCGCAUUAGCUAGUUGGUGAGGUAACGGCUCACCAAGGCGACGAUGCGCAGCCGACCUGAGAGGGUGACCGGCCACACUGGGACUGAGACACGGCCCAGACUCCUACGGGAGGCAGCAGUAGGGAAUCUUCCACAAUGGACGAAAGUCUGAUGGAGCAACGCCGCGUGAGUGAUGAAGGUUUUCGGAUCGUAAAACUCUGUUGUAAGGGAAGAACACGUACGAGAGGAAAUGCUCGUACCUUGACGGUACCUUACGAGGAAGCCACGGCUAACUACGUGCCAGCAGCCGCGGUAAU
This 469-nucleotide ribosomal RNA is filed under the name uncultured bacterium. RNAcentral describes it as "bacterial SSU rRNA". It matches the Rfam family "Bacterial small subunit ribosomal RNA", at positions 56 to 524 of the family's 1533-position model. The record is from RNAcentral.